RNAcentral lists this small nucleolar RNA (133 nucleotides) under Myotis lucifugus (little brown bat). RNAcentral describes it as "Small nucleolar RNA SNORA31 (ENSMLUG00000021920.1)". The record is from RNAcentral. Lineage: Eukaryota; Metazoa; Chordata; Mammalia; Chiroptera; Vespertilionidae.
AUGCAUCUAUUUGACAGACCUGGAGCAAUUACUCUCUGCUGCUAAGGUUCCAGUGCAGAUGCAAGAAAAAAGGGUCAUUGCGCUUUCUGCCUGUCUGAUGGUGGCAGCCAAAAUUGAAUGGGGGAGUAUAGGA